GACGAACGCUGGCGGCGUGCUUAACACAUGCAAGUCGAACGGAAAGGCCCUGCUUUUGUGGGGUGCUCGAGUGGCGAACGGGUGAGUAACACGUGAGUAACCUGCCCUUGACUUUGGGAUAACUUCAGGAAACUGGGGCUAAUACCGGAUAGGAGCUCCUGCUGCAUGGUGGGGGUUGGAAAGUUUCGGCGGUUGGGGAUGGACUCGCGGCUUAUCAGCUUGUUGGUGGGGUAGUGGCUUACCAAGGCUUUGACGGGUAGCCGGCCUGAGAGGGUGACCGGCCCCAUUGGGACUGAGAUACGGCCCAGACUCCCACGGGGGGCAGGGGUGGGGAAUAUUGCACAAUGGGGGGAAGCCUGAUGCAGCAACGCCGCGUGCGGGAUGACGGCCUUCGGGUUGUAAACCGCUUUCGCCUGUGACGAAGCGUGAGUGACGGUAAUGGGUAAAGAAGCACCGGCUAACUACGUG
RNAcentral lists this ribosomal RNA (468 nucleotides) under uncultured bacterium. RNAcentral's name for it is "partial 16S ribosomal RNA". It matches the Rfam family "Bacterial small subunit ribosomal RNA", at positions 28 to 507 of the family's 1533-position model. The record is from RNAcentral.